GUGAAUCAUCGAAUUUUUGAACGCAAAUUGCGCUUCCUGGCAUCCCGGGAAGUAUUCCUGUUUGAGGGUCAGUAUUAAUAAAAAAUCGGUUUAGCUCCAAAUUGUGACGUUUCCGGUGUUUGGGCUAUCUUCACUUUUUUGGUUAAGAGGCUUAAAAUUGACCUUUUUUGCGCAUUUUUACACGUACAUAAAUUUUUUUUAUUCUUCUAUUUUUAAUGCCAAUAUCUUAUUCGAUGCUAUCACAUCGUGUGGCUUCUUUUCCAUAAAAUUUUCAUUAUUUGACCUCACAUC
Molecule: unclassified non-coding RNA, 291 nt
Filed under: Glomeraceae sp.
Lineage: Eukaryota; Fungi; Glomeromycota; Glomeromycetes; Glomerales; Glomeraceae
Description: partial contains 5.8S ribosomal RNA and internal transcribed spacer 2
Rfam family: 5.8S ribosomal RNA (bases 1-71)
Source: RNAcentral